CGACCCCAGGUCAGGCGGGACUACCCGCUGAGUUUAAGCA
This 40-nucleotide ribosomal RNA is filed under the name Zeugites americanus var. mexicanus. RNAcentral's name for it is "partial 25S ribosomal RNA". RNAcentral also lists the same sequence under 2 other names. Lineage: Eukaryota; Viridiplantae; Streptophyta; Magnoliopsida; Poales; Poaceae. The record is from RNAcentral.